AUUGAACGCUGGCGGCAGGCUUAACACAUGCAAGUCGAGCGGGGUGAUGGUGCUUGCACUAUCACUUAGCGGCGGACGGGUGAGUAAUGCUUAGGAAUCUGCCUAUUAGUGGGGGACAACAUCUCGAAAGGGAUGCUAAUACCGCAUACGUCCUACGGGAGAAAGCAGGGGAUCACUUGUGACCUUGCGCUAAUAGAUGAGCCUAAGUCGGAUUAGAUAGUUGGUGGGGUAAAGGCCUACCAAGGCGACGAUCUGUAGCGGGUCUGAGAGGAUGAGCCGCCACACUGGGACUGGUAACAGGCCCAGCAUCCUACGGGAGGCAGCAGUGGGGAAUAGUGGACAAUGGGGGGAACCCUGAUCCAGCCAUGCCGCGUGUGUGAAGAAGGCCUUAUGGUUGUAAAGCACUUUAAGCGAGGAGGAGGCUCUUUUGGUUAAUACCCAAGAUGAGUGGACGUUACUCGCAGAAUAAGCACCGGCUAACCCUGUGCCAGCCGCCGCAGUAA
RNAcentral lists this ribosomal RNA (503 nucleotides) under uncultured bacterium. RNAcentral describes it as "partial 16S ribosomal RNA". It matches the Rfam family "Bacterial small subunit ribosomal RNA", at positions 30 to 523 of the family's 1533-position model. The record is from RNAcentral.